AAUGAGGACCAGCUGGUUCAGGUGCAUUGACCUCUUUGAAGCCAUUUAAUUAUAUACGUUCUUUGAAUAUUGUGGAUAUUUUCUGGUGAUACCCUAAUAAUGGAUUCCUCGUAAGUUGUGGAGAUUAAGUAGCCUUUAAGUGGUCUUUGAAGUUAAUUUUUGUUUCCUUUUUCAUGUAAAACCAUAUCAUUUGUGCUUUCUUAUGUUUUUAGCAUGUUGUAGGUAGGGGGGAAAACCUUGCAGUGUGAACAAGUUAAUGACUUGUUUUCAUUAAGGAAAUUGAUGGAAUAUGAUACA
This 297-nucleotide unclassified non-coding RNA is filed under the name Hevea brasiliensis (rubber tree). The record is from RNAcentral. Lineage: Eukaryota; Viridiplantae; Streptophyta; Magnoliopsida; Malpighiales; Euphorbiaceae.